CCUUGACAUACUAAGAACUUUCCAGAGAUGGAUUGGUGCCUUCGGGAACUUAGAUACAGGUGCUGCAUGGCUGUCGUCAGCUCGUGUCGUGAGAUGUUGGGUUAAGUCCCGCAACGAGCGCAACCCUUUUCCUUAUUUGCCAGCGGGUAAUGCCGGGAACUUUAAGGAUACUGCCAGUGACAAACUGGAGGAAGGCGGGGACGACGUCAAGUCAUCAUGGCCCUUACGGCCAGGGCUACACACGUGCUACAAUGGUCGGUACAAAGGGUUGCUACCUCGCGAGAGGAUGCUAAUCUCAAAAAGCCGAUCGUAGUCCGGAUCGCAGUCUGCAACUCGACUGCGUGAAGUCGGAAUCGCUAGUAAUCGCGGAUCAGAAUGCCGCGGUGAAUACGUUCCCGGGCCUUGUGCACACCGCCCGUCACACCAUGGGAGUUUGUUGCACCAGAAGUAGGUAGUCUAACCGCAAGGAGGACGCUUACCACGGUGUGGCCGAUGACUGGGGUGAAGUCGUAACAAGGUAGGCGUAGAUGA
Molecule: ribosomal RNA, 531 nt
Filed under: uncultured bacterium
Lineage: Bacteria
Description: bacterial SSU rRNA
Rfam family: Bacterial small subunit ribosomal RNA
Source: RNAcentral